Molecule: ribosomal RNA, 491 nt
Filed under: uncultured Glomus
Lineage: Eukaryota; Fungi; Glomeromycota; Glomeromycetes; Glomerales; Glomeraceae
Description: partial 18S ribosomal RNA
Source: RNAcentral
CGUAAGGCGCCGAAUGAGUCAUUAAAAAAUUAACAUCAUCCGAUCCCUAGUCGGCAUAGUUUAUGGUUAAGACUACGACGGUAUCUGAUCGUCUUCGAUCCCCUAACUUUCGUUCUUGAUUAAUGAAAACAUCCUUGGCAAAUGCUUUCGCAGUAGUUAGUCUUCAAUAAAUCCAAGAAUUUCACCUCUGACAAUUGAAUACUAAUGCCCCCAACUAUCCCUAUUAAUCAUUACGUCAAUCCUAGAAACCAACAAAAUAGGAUCGAACGUCCUAUUUCAUUAUUCCAUGCUAAUGUAUUCAAGCGUUAGCCUGCUUUAAACACUCUAAUUUUUCAAAGUAACAGUCCAGUUUCCCCGCAACACCAAAUUAAUGGCAUUACGGUUCAUCAGGAAGGAGGAAUCAGUAAGACCAGUGCAUACCAGAGGCAUGACCAAUCUACUAACCCCGAAUUCAACUACGAGCUUUUAACUGACAACAACUUUAAUAUACG